AGUGAACGCUGGCGGUAGGCCUAACACAUGCAAGUCGAACGGCAGCACAGUAAGAGCUUGCUCUUACGGGUGGCGAGUGGCGGACGGGUGAGGAAUACAUCGGAAUCUACUUUUUCGUGGGGGAUAACGCAGGGAAACUUACGCUAAUACCGCAUACGACCUACGGGUGAAAGCAGGGGAUCUUCGGACCUUGCGCGAUUGAAUGAGCCGAUGUCGGAUUAGCUAGUUGGCGGGGUAAAGGCCCACCAAGGCGACGAUCCGUAGCUGGUCUGAGAGGAUGAUCAGCCACACUGGAACUGAGACACGGUCCAGACUCCUACGGGAGGCAGCAGUGGGGAAUAUUGGACAAUGGGCGCAAGCCUGAUCCAGCCAUACCGCGUGGGUGAAGAAGGCCUUCGGGUUGUAAAGCCCUUUUGUUGGGAAAGAAAAGCAGCAGGUUAAUACCCCGCUGUUCUGACGGUACCCAAAGAAUAAGCACCGGCUAACUUCGUGC
This 493-nucleotide ribosomal RNA is filed under the name uncultured bacterium. RNAcentral describes it as "partial 16S ribosomal RNA". It matches the Rfam family "Bacterial small subunit ribosomal RNA", at positions 29 to 508 of the family's 1533-position model. The record is from RNAcentral.